UUCCUCCCUCUUCAGGUUUGAAUAGGAGGCUCCAUUGUAUCACGGGACGGAGUAUGGCAAGUCACGUGACGAGGAAGAAGCAGUAGCUCGGCCUCGGGAAAAGGGCUUAUCGCUUGCGGAGCUCCUGGUAACCUUGGCGAUGCGCUCUUAGGAGCAGAGGAUUGAAACUACCUGAUUUUUCUCUCCGGUACCUUAGUCUCGGGUGGUAUCCUGUGAUGGGGAAAUGAGUCUUCUCUUACCAUGUCUGGCUGGUGGCGACCCAGAUGCCAUGUGAUGGCCAUUUGAAGACAGGCCUUUUGGACAUCAGGUGAUGUAAAUUUUUUUUGAUGCUGCAGUAUCAUUUGCCACUGGGCGGUUUCCUUUCUCUGGGGUCUGACUCAAGUGGGAUGUGGAGGGUGGAGGUUGUACCUUGAAGACAGGGUGCAGUCCCGGGAGGCACCUCAUGGUGGCCACAGCGAUGACCUCGGCCAGCAGAUGAGUGUUCAGCAGAUGAUAUUGGAGCUGAUGCAGCUGGAAAUCUGAAUUUCGGACCCAGGACUUUGCCAGGAGCCAGGUUUUUCCAGCACUGGACUCUGGACCAAGAGGCAGUGGAUUCCCACAACCUCCCGACCCUGACUCAGCCUUGGUCCCUCCCCUUCACAACUGCUGGCCACACUGCCAAGGAGAGAACAAGGCAAAGUUCCUUCUCUCGAUGUUUCUGGAACACGUCCAAUGCAUUGUCUCCUGCCAGGCGGGCUGGGGAGACAUGAAGAUGAUUGGCCACAGUUUGUGUGGUCCUGUGCCCCGCCACCUAUCCUAAUCUUCCUUUCCAUAGUCAUAGUCCGUGUGUUCAGUCAUGCUCUGUUGCUUUUAUCCCUGGCCUUGCCUCACUCCAUCAGUUCCCCAGACACAUUUAUCUUAUCUUUGCCAACUUUGCACUCCUGGUUGUGCUAAUUUCAGACCUCAUCUCUUGCCUUGAGACAACAGUCUCAUGUUUGACACCCUUUCUUGUCAUUUAACUGUCUUUCCCUUCCUGAUCUUAUUUCAUCAAUAUCUAUGAUUGGAAAAAUCACCUUAAUUAAGGUGAUAACAUCUUAAUCACUCAUAUGCCUACACCUCUUUUCUACAGUAUAUUGCUUUGGUUAAUUUCAUGUGUCCUGAACCUCACCUGCCGCACCUUGGCCAUCCUCAAAAAGCUUUGAGGAGCUAUGUUUGCUUUCUGUUUCUGACUUCAUUGUUCCAAGACUCACCAGCAAAGUCUAUAUUAUCAACUUGUUUCUGCUCUUAUCUGUACUUAUACUUACCUGCCUCAAAGUGAUAGAUUUCACGUUUCCGUCAUCACUGCCCUUGCCUCAGUUGCCUCCAUAAUCAUCUCUCGUUUCCCCAACAAAUUCUGAAUUUGCUGUCAUUCAUCCCCGCCUCCUGUCAGCGUGCUCCCUGUCCCUGACGGUUGUCUUCCAUGUUUUCCCAACCAAACCAGCCCUCCAAAUCAUAUUAUUUAUUGUUUCCCUUAGCUGUGUCCUCGCAGGGGUCCUCCCCAGCCCCUAUUCCAUAUGCUAAUCUUAACCUGUCCUGCCCUAACUUCUUCCCAGUCCCAUCCAGAUCUCCUUCUCACUUUUACUUGGACUUCUCUGUUUUCCAUCACUGCUUCAACGCCCAUUCUGUGUCUUCACCUUCUUGGAAGGUGGGAGCUACACAGCACUUAUGUCCCUAUCCAGCCCCACUCGCAGCUUUUCUUAGUCUAUGUGUAAAUUUGGUGUUUUAUAACUUUCCCCCAUUUCCUGUCUUCUUCGCACUUAACCUGCUGAACACCCACUUUUUUCAAGCCCCCCUGACCUUUCCUCAGUCCUCCCCCCCACCUUCGUCAGCAGUUCCCCAGGCUCCGCACCGCCCACCACUGCCCCCACCGGUGCCCUCGGGCAGGCACAGGACGCCCUCGCCCUGCACCCAGCUGUAGCACGGGAAGGCGGCCUCCUCGCCGGCUCCAGGGCCCUGCACCGUGAUGCGGUCGCAGAACCACGCGUCGUCCACCAGGGAGUGGUGUUUGCGCAGCUUCACGAACUGCAGCGGCCCCAAGUCGUCGGGAACGUCGUGCUCAAACUCCUCCUCCUGUGGGGCCAGAACCCGGAGACUUUAGUGGGAGGGUCCUGGGAGAGGCCGUUUUGCGGAGAGUGAGGGUUGGGGGUCUGAGGUGGGGUGGGGACAGAAGAGGGGGGACCUUGGUGGCCUCCGUUGACAAUGCCUCCAAAGACCUCGUUCCCUCCUCUGGACACCUGCGCGGUGGAUUUCAGACGCCCCAUGGCACCAGGAGGACAAGGGAAGGCGGCGCGUGGCCCUCAUUGUCUUGAAUUGAUGCCUGAGCACCAUCACCUCCAUCCGUUCUUUGAGCCAUUCCCGUCUGCGCUCUCCCAGGAGCUUCCCAUUUGACACUGAUGCUAUAUUGACACUGGCCUGGGGUCAUUUAGAGAGUCAGUUGGAGGCUGUGAGGACCAGGGUAACUGGGAAGGGAGAAGGGGGUGGCGUUCAGCCCGUCUUUGGCUCCCGACCCUCCCUCUCCUCGCCCCUCCUCGCCCCUCCUUGCCCAGGCGCAGGCAUCCCAACACCUGGAAGUCCCAGCCAGUGCGGUCCAGCUAUCAUUUAGCUCCUGGAUCCCGCGCCUCACCGGCCUCUCGCCUCUGGGCUGCCCUCCCGCCGCGAGCCCCAGCUCGGGCCGGGGUGGGGGCCCCCGCUCCCGCCUGCUGACCUGGCCCCGCACCGGCCGCAGCUCCAGCUCCAGCUUCGUCUCCCCGUGCGCCCCGACCAGCCACAGCCGCACGCGGUUGUGCGACCCGGCGAAGAGCGAGGCCCCGGUGGCUACGCGGAUGCAGUAGCGGCCCAUGGCGGCCCUGGCGGCUUAGACGAGGGGAGCCGGGACGUGCGCACUUCUUGGGGCCGUGGGCGGGUGUCGAGACGCCUUGGGGCCCGGGCCUUUAAAGAUGGGUCCGCGUCCCCGCCCUUCUCACGACUUGCUGGCGCUCUCAGUCCCCGCCCCAGACUAGCCCGAACCUGUGAGCGGCAGAGCCGGCUGUGGGGAAGGGCCGCGCCUCCGGAUCCGAGCGGAGCUGCGGGAGAUAAAGGGGCCCCAGCCUCGGUGAGGCCGAGAGGAUGGAAUUGCCUGGGUUUCUCUGGACCUCCGAGGGGGCCUCGGGGUUGUAGGGAGCAAGGCUGAGGACUUCCCGGGGUCCCCAGGCCUUUCGGAGAGCUAGGCGGAAGAGGAGGUGGGUCGGUCUUCCAAUGGAGGGGAAAGUCUCUGCUUUUCUUGGCUGGGCCCCAGGGAGCACGUAGUGUCCUGCUGCUAGACCCGGUAUGGCCAGUAGGUUUUCAGUUCCUGCUUUCGACCUCAUUUGAGCCCAGUUUUUUAGUAAAUGACCUGGGGUCCCCCAGGCUUCCUAGAACCUGGAAAAGUAACAGUUCAAAGACUUGCACCCCAGACCUCAACCUGCUUUCCAGCAUGGCCAGGUUAAGACCCCAGGCACGCCAGAUGCAGGGGGAGGCCCCGCUGAGGCAGGGAAGUGAAAACCUCCUUUUGUCCAACGUUCAUAGUGGGUGCAGAGAAUGUUAGGAUGCAGCUAUCAGGGUACAGUAUGGAGUAACUUAGGGACACAGCAUCCAUGGACAGUUCCCCUGGACUUUGUUCCCUUCCAGGUGAACACAACCUCUUCCCCGUGAACACAACCUCUUCCCCUUCCAUAUGUUCCAGGUUAAUUUUUUAUUUUUUAAAAGUUUAAUUUUUUAAAAUUGAAGUAUAGUCAGUUUACAGUGUGUCAAUUUCUGCAGUACAGCAUAAAUGUUUCAGUUAUACGUAUACAUAUAUAUAUUCGUUUUCAUAUUCUUUUUCAUUGUAGUUUAAUACAAGAUAUUAAAUAUAGUUCCCUGUUGUAUACAGAAGAAAUCAGGUUCAUUUUUAUUCUGGCCUUACUGACCCUGGUACCUGCUUCCCCCACCUGAAGCUUUUUUCAGUUUUCUUCUAAGACAUUAGAUGCAAAGUUUUUAUUAGUCAAGAAGUUCUACCUCUUUCAUCUUCUUUCUAGUCUUUAUCCUGCUCCCCCCAGCUAUUUCCUGGUCCUUUGUGGCACUCAGGGCAGGAAACCAGGGAGCUACGGAGGGGCCAGUGCUGGUUAGGGACUUUGUAAACAUCAGAAGAUGUUCAGGCCUCAUGCUCUGCCACCCACACAGGAACCAGGUGCAGCCUCUUGCAGGUCCCUAUCUAGGUCUUCUUGGCCAAAUCAUUAUAAGCUUUUGGCUCCCAGUGGAUGUGUCUGGUGGCCAGGGCUAGGUCAGGGCAAGGUAAAUCUGCUUUCUUGAGCCAGACCCUCAAAAAUGACUUGAUGUGUGGUUACUCGGGCGGGGGAGGGCGUAAGAGGGAUUCCAGUCCUGCCUUCUAGCCUCCAAACUUCCGGAAGUGUCUCAUCCUUACAGUGUGCUUUCUUCUUAUCUUCUGGGCCCACUGCUGCCUGCAUCCUCUGUGCUCAGGGCUGGUGUCUGUCACAUGCUGGACCCUAGUUUCCUCCAGUUCGGGGGGGUCCCCUUAUCCUGUAAUACUUAGACUAUCUCAUGUCCCCAUCUUACAUAGUAGCUGAAUCUGGUUUUCCAUACAUACCCUUCAAGGGUCACUUUGGCCUAGAAAAGACAGUUUGCUUCACACCUAUUUCCAGAACCCGUCUAGACUUCAGCCUGCUUCUCUGCUGUUUCGUGACAACUUUUCUGCCCAUUCUAGCAUCCCUCAAGGUCACGCAGCCGAGGCGGGGCGAGGCGGGGAACGAAUGACUAAGAGCUAUAAUCCAAGCGACUACAUAGGCUAAAGGGGUUAAUGUUGAAAAUAUUUAGAACAAUGCCUGACACUAGUCUCUGUAUGCACCUGCUGCCAUUAUUCUAUUUACAGACUGGAAACAAUUUCCGGUUGAAUGUCAGCAUCAUUCCUUCUGGAAAUUCCUCCGCCGUUCCCCACCCCAUACUGUUUCUCCAUGUCCCUCCACAGACCCCAGCCUCCCAUUUAGGGAUCUUGCUCCUCAAGACCCUUCCAGUUUUUUUUUUUUUCUUUUUUCAGCACAUGCAUUAUGCUGAGGAACAGAAUUUAAAACAAAAUUACCCAACCCAGAAAAACCCCUAAAACCCCUCCACAAAGGUGGCAGAGGAAAGAAAACAGUUGUAUAAUUGAAUAAGCAUUCCCAGAAUGUGAUACGCGUCACAGGCCAUCCGCUAAGAGACUGUAAAGAUAAAGUAAUCGCACCCUUUUAUAAAGCAGCACAGCCAAGCAGAUACAGCUGUUACACGUAUGUCCUCAAGAUGAACAGUAAACUAGUCCUCAGAGUAAGAGGCUUGACCGCACCGUUUGUCACACACAGUUUAUCCUAACUUUACCUGGUAACUGGUGAGCCUCUGGGUUACUAGUAGGCUUAAUCAUAGGACUAAGUUCUUAUAUCUUUAUGAUAGGAGGUAGUUUUGCAACUUGGUGGAAGGAGCCCACCGCAGUUAAGGUCCUACCCUCCCACCGAAACUGGGAGAUGGGGGUGCUACUCCCUGAAAUUUACAUUUGAAAGAGAUGGCUCUUGGCGGGGGGCCUUGGGAGCGACAUUCCUGGGUCAAAAACCAGCAAGAGGCUGGUUUAGCUUCUGAGAAGAUUUCCACACAUUUCAAAGAGGCACAGGAAGAACUUGUAGCUACAAGUUUUCUAAAGUUAAUGCUCCAAAUAAAUAAAUAAAUAAAUAAAUAAAUAAAAAUAAAGCUAAUGUGCUAAGAAAAGGGGGAAAGAGGAAGAAGUUUAUUAUUUUCAGCAGGGAGAAUGAAGCUGCUUAUUUGUCUUCACAAUUACCAUUUUGUUGUGUACCUAUGCCCCGGGAAGGACCAGGGCCUUGGCCUUGCCGGGCCCUUCAUGGUGGGAAGGCCCAGGUGUGCACAUCAGAGCCAGACUCUCUCUUCUUCCAGACUCCCGGGGCCCUGUUCUGCAACCCACAUUCCCAUGAACUCUCUCUGCAGAACAACUUAACUUGGUCAAAGCUUCUCUCACCAAGGGGUGUGGGGAAGGGGGAUGGACCUUGCCUUUCAAGCCAAAAAGUCUUGCUAAAGUGUUCUCCUAAUCACAAGGAUAAUUUCAUCCUCUUCCUUUCCUCUGUGCCAGGGUGGCUCAAACUGCAGUCGGUUAGAGGAUAACUCAGUUGUCCCCUCUGCAUGAAUCUUUGGAACCCAUAUUUGGCACAGGGCUAUAGACAUUUGUAUUUGUUCCUUGAGGGCAAAUUAAACAUACAAACACGACAUUAUAAACUGUGUAGCUUUGAACCAAACAUAGGAUCUGAUUUCAGGGCCGAUGCUGUAGCACAUGUUUUCCAUUGAGUCAUUUGAGGUCCCACCUGCCCCUGUUUGCACGAAGCCCAGCACUUUCCUCUCUGAGUGGUGUUACUUGCUUCUGUUCUUGUUCAGUGGUCGAAUGCGGGAACAUUGUUCCUGCACAUUCUAUGGGUUAUUUUCUGGUGCUGCAGGGACCACUGCACAGGCCACGACAGUGACGCACACUUGGGCUUCCCAACUCCUGUUCACACAGGCUUGGGCAAGGGCCCCAAGCAUGAUUGGUGCCAGGGGCCUGGGUCAGGCCCAUGUCCAGCCUCAGCUGCUUAAACCUUUAGGCAUUGGUGUUGAACCUGGUCCUUUAACCAGAGAACUUUGCUCACAGAGGGUUCCCUUUUGGUUCUUUCCUGCUGAUGGGUCUCUGUUGGAACUGAUACAGGGAAAAAUGUGAGGCAAGAGGAUGGCCGUGUCCCAGGUCUUGGAUGAGCCCCUGGGAUGUGCGUCACCAAGUGUGGGUCCUUGGCUUCUCACAGGAAAGAAUUCAAGAGUGAGCCACAGUUGAGUAAGGCUAGAUUUAUUUAGAGAGAUACAUACUCCAUAGACAGAGUGUGGGCUAUUUCAGAAGGCAAGAGAAAGGCCAGGAGGUGUGGGGGUUGGGUGCUCAGUUUAAAGUAGUUACACUCCAAAGGCAGAGUGCGGGCCACCUCAAUCAGAAGAGCGAGUGGCCAUGAGGGGUGGGGCUGUUAGUUUUUAUGGGCGUGGGAGCUUCGUAUGCUACCAAGUGGGAGGAUUAUUCCAACUACUCUGGAGAAGGUGCUGGGAUUCCCAAGAAUCCAACAUCCAACCCCUGGCCUCUCUUUUUCAGGACUGAACUGCAAGGCCAGACCCACAGCAUUUUGGGCUUUUUACUCCAUCUUGGAGAAACAACGGUUAAGGGACAAAUGAGUUGUGGGGUCCAUCAGAGGAGAAAUUCCACUCCUUCUCUGGGACCCCUGCCAGCAUCCCCCAAACCAUCCCAAACUCUGUUUAUCUUUCUCUUUUUUCUAAUAAUCCUACAUUACUCAAAAUUUUUAAUUCACACUGAUUUCUAGAUAAUCUUUUAUUUUUUAUUGAAGUAUAGUAAGUUACAAUGUGUCAAUUUCUGGUGUACAGCACAAUGUCCCAGUCAUGCAUAUAUACAUACACAUAUAUUCAUUUUCAUAUUCUUUUUCAUUAAAGGUUAUUACAAGAUAUUGAAUAUAGUUCCCUAUGCUAUAUAGAAGAAAUUUUUUUAAAUCUAUUUUUAUAUAUAGUGGUUAACAUUUGUAAAUCUCAAACUGCCAAAUUUAUCCCUUCCCACCCUCUUUUCCCUGGUAACUGUAAGAUUGUUUACUGUGUCUGUGAGUUUCUUUCGGUUUUGUAGAUGAGUUCAUUAGUGUCCUUUUUUUCUUUUUCUUUUUCUUUUAGAUUCCACAAAUGAGUGAUAUCCUAUGGUAUUUUUCUUUCUGUUUCUGGCUUACUUCACUUAGAAUAACCUAGAUAAUUUUCAUGUCUUGCCUGCCGCCUGUGAUCUCUUUGCUCCAUCUUGUGCUGAACCAUAUUUAAAAGCUAUCACUAACCCACUAACCCACAUAACAGAUUUGUACUGAAGGUUUGAGAGGGCAAUAGCCAGGGUGGGGAAUAGGGUGAGGCGAGUGAGGCACUUACCUUGGGAGCAACAUUUAAAGUGUCCCACCAAAACCUGUUCAUCAAGGUAAAUAAUAUUUUAAUACAAUAUUUGAAAAGAUCAAAAUUAAUGCAAAAAUUCACAGUAAACAAAAAUAUCAAAAAUUAAAAAAAUUUAUUGAUUUAUAAUCAUUUUACAAUGUUGUGUCAAAUUCCAGUGUAGAGAACAAUUUUUCAGUCAUACAUGAACAUAUAUAUAUUCAUUGUCACAUUUUUUUCUCUGUGAGCUACCAUCAGAUCUUGUGUAUAUUUCCCUGUGCUGUACAGUGUAAUCUUGUUUAUCUAUUUUACAGUUUUGAAAUCCCAUCUAUCCCUCAAAAUUUUAAAUAAAGACAAGAUCAGUUGUAAGACUGAAUAUUAGCCA
Molecule: long non-coding RNA, 8368 nt
Organism: Camelus dromedarius (Arabian camel)
Lineage: Eukaryota; Metazoa; Chordata; Mammalia; Artiodactyla; Camelidae
Exons: 5
Source: RefSeq, a predicted model, not a curated record